GACGAACGCUGGCGGCGUGCCUAAUACAUGCAAGUAGAACGCUGAAGAGAGGAGCUUGCUCUUCUUGGAUGAGUUGCGAACGGGUGAGUAACGCGUAGGUAACCUGCCUUGUAGCGGGGGAUAACUAUUGGAAACGAUAGCUAAUACCGCAUAACAAUGGAUGACACAUGUCAUUUAUUUGAAAGGGGCAAUUGCUCCACUACAAGAUGGACCUGCGUUGUAUUAGCUAGUAGGUGAGGUAACGGCUCACCUAGGCGACGAUACAUAGCCGACCUGAGAGGGUGAGCGGCCACACUGGGACGGAGACACGGCACAGACGCCUACGGGAGGCAGCAGUAGGGAAUCGUGGGCAAUGGGGGCAAACCUGACCGAGCAACGCCGCGUGAGUGAAGAAGGUUUUCGGAUCGUAAAGCUCGGUUGUAAGGCAAGAACGAGUGUGAGAGUGGAAAGUUCACACUGUGACGGUAGCUUACAAGAAAGGGACGGCUAACUACGUG
This 497-nucleotide ribosomal RNA is filed under the name uncultured bacterium. RNAcentral's name for it is "partial 16S ribosomal RNA". It matches the Rfam family "Bacterial small subunit ribosomal RNA", at positions 28 to 507 of the family's 1533-position model. The record is from RNAcentral.